UGGAAUGCAGGCUCUUGAGUACCUAGGGGACAAGAAGGAAAUAGUUCUGCAGGCUGGGGCACAGGACCGAGAGACCUGGAGAGAAAGAGAUUCAGGAGCAAAGAGGAGAUCUGGAAUCCCUAGAGCAGCCUCCCCUUUGAGAACCAGAGGAAACAUCAAAACAUAGCAGCUACGACAGCUGAUGCCAACCAGGGAUGUGCCUCCAAACCUCAGACCCCAGCUUGCACUGGAGCAGAGCACUCAUUAUCGCUGCAGGCAGCAACAUUCCAGAGAGAGCAUGAGGGCGGCUUUGGUGGAUGUGGCACAAACCUGAGUGGACACUGCAGAUGGUUGGCAGAAGGAAGUCCAGGAAGUGCUUAGGUUUAAUGAGGCCUGGGAGAACUGAAGCAUGGACAACAUGAUAGAAUUAAGGAAGCAGCUCCUACACCACACAUGGCAGUUUCUUGACCUGGUCAUGCAGUGCCAUGUUGAUGUGCAGAUGACACAAGACUGGAUUAAGAAUGUCCUGCAGUACAUGAACAAGUGCAGCAUCCAUAAGCGGGUACCACCCCUGAAAGGGCACACUAGCUCUACUUAGCUUGCCUCAGUCCAGAAGGUAGGAAGGAGUAUUAGAGCUGAGUCUGUUCCCUGAAACACAAUGCAGUCAGCUGAGGGGCACAUGAGUGCCAGCAGGGCCAGGAGGGCACUGCUGCUGUGACAGCUAAAAAUUAUAUCUGUGUGAUAACGGUGCUUGCUGAAGGCUCUAUGAAAAUUAGACCAAGUGUUUUUCUGUCAUUUGUUCAGAUAUUAAGCUAUAUGUUGUUGUUAAGAGCCUAAUUAAAGUC
Molecule: long non-coding RNA, 824 nt
Organism: Alligator sinensis (Chinese alligator)
Lineage: Eukaryota; Metazoa; Chordata; Crocodylia; Alligatoridae
Exons: 3
Source: RefSeq, a predicted model, not a curated record